GAUGAACGCUGGCGGCGUGCCUAACACAUGCAAGUCGAGCGAGAAGCUUAUGAAGGAUCCUUCGGGUGACUGAUUAAGUGGAAAGCGGCGGACGGGUGAGUAACGCGUGGGUAACCUGCCCCAUACAAAGGGAUAGCCACUGGAAACGGUGAUUAAUACCAUAUGAGAUCGUAGAGUCGCAUGACUUAGCGGUUAAAGAUUUAUCGGUAUGGGAUGGACCCGCGUCUGAUUAGCUAGUUGGUAAGGUAACGGCUUACCAAGGCGACGAUCAGUAGCCGACCUGAGAGGGUGAUCGGCCACACUGGAACUGAGACACGGUCCAGACUCCUACGGGAGGCAGCAGUGGGGAAUAUUGCACAAUGGGCGCAAGCCUGAUGCAGCAACGCCGCGUGAGCGAUGAAGGCCUUUCGGGUCGUAAAAGCUCUGUCCUCAAGGAGAAAAAUGACGGUACUUGAGGAGGAAGCCCCGGCUAAC
RNAcentral lists this ribosomal RNA (474 nucleotides) under uncultured bacterium. Its description in RNAcentral is "bacterial SSU rRNA". It matches the Rfam family "Bacterial small subunit ribosomal RNA", at positions 28 to 501 of the family's 1533-position model. The record is from RNAcentral.